UAGCACACAGCUGCUGUGGUUUCAGAUGUUAACGAUCACAGAAAUAAGAUCAGCCAGAAGCACAGCGAGGGAUGUCACAACAUCUCUUGGGGAUCCGCCGACCAAAAGACAUGCGGAACAACAUGUCAAGAGGACUGCCAUAUGAAAUGUCACCGCCUGCCAAGAAAUAAUCCCUUUCAGACUUCUUAUAUUCAUGUUUGUAUUGACCUGUCAUUGUUGGGUGGUUGUGUGUAUAUAUUUCCUGUUCCUGUUAAAGAAACUAUCCAUCCAUUUUUUUGAAUGACAGCAGAAAACAAUGAAACGUCUUCCUCAGAGCUGCUAAGCCAAAUAAAACAAGACACGUGUGUUCGUGUGCACAUGCUUAUCAAUCUUGAACCCUAAAGGACUGCUUUGCCUCCACUUGGCCCGUGCUAUAAUUGGUAUUCAGUUUAGCCUCAGGCUAGUGCGUGCAUGUGCAAGUAUAUUAAGUGCAAAUUGUUGUGUUUCUAUGUGAAAAUCUGUGUGCAUUCAUAUAUCUUUUAUGCAUGUUAUGGUAUUAAUAUCUAGCACGUCAUAAGUGAUUAAGAUAUAUUAACGUGUGUGUUCGUGUGCACACACUUACCAAUCUUGAAUCCACUUGGCCUAUGCAAUGAUUGGUAUUCAGUUUAGCCUCAGGCUAGUGUGUGCAUGUGCAAGUAUAUUAAGUGCAAAUUGUUGUGUUUCUAUGUACAAAUCUGUGUGCAUUCAUAUGUCUUUUAUGCAUGUUAUGGUAUUAAUAUCUAUAAGGUCACAAGUGAUGAAGAUAUAUUAACGUGUGCUGUAUGUCGAUGCAGUUAUUAAUGUUUUGUUUGUGCGUUCUCUGGGGUUUAAUAACUACAUGUGUUUAUGAGUUGAGAGGGUUUGCAUGAUACUGAACUGUGCAGAAGCCACAAUUUCCUAUGUAGGAUUACUAGUUUUGUGAACAGAUACUGUAGAGACUUUACAAACAGCGCUGAGCUGCUGGGAUCAAAGCCCUCGCUGCAGGCAGCCCCCUUGAUGUCCACGGGACAGGUACAUGAGAGAACACAUGUUGCUUAUCUUGACAGUUCCAUACUAAUUUUAAACAACUUCAACUGCGGAUUCAUCUUUUUAUUCUCUUCACAAGAGAAAACUGGUUAACUGCACAGCUCCACCUGCAGCUUCUAGGGAUUUGAACUGAAAUAUCUCAACUACUAUUGAAUGAAUCGCCAUAAAAUUUGGUACUGAACUGUAAUAAAUUCGGUAAUCCUGUAAUUUAAAUAAUCAUAAUGAAGUCACAAGUUUAAUUUUUCCAAUACUUUGGUUUAAUACUUGUUAAACUAAUGAUAUUCCCAUACUCCCUUUUACUCACAAUGCUGAAGCUAAAUAUCUGCAAAUUCAAUAUGACUUUAAACGUCUACCACUGCUUUUACAUUUAAAAAAAAAAACAUACAUGGUAGCUUUUUACAUAAUCAAUAGCUUAAUGCAACAAAUGAAUGGAGCAGAACUGAAAACACUUGGCCUCCUACUGUUACAAUGCCACAGGCAAAUAGUGAUAAAUGAGGCAAUAUAACGCACGUGGGAUUAUUACAGAAACUGUGUACACAAGCAUUGGAUGUCUUACAUAUUAAUUACUGUAAAUAUAGUGAAAAUGUAAUUAUUCUUGACUAGUCAACUACAGCCCACGAUGCCCACAAGUGGUUUCAGUGGUGGACUACAUAAUGAAACUCCAGCGUGCGCAUAUAUAUUUAUUUCUAUUUAUAAAUGUGUCUCAUU
Long non-coding RNA from Thunnus maccoyii (southern bluefin tuna), 1752 nucleotides. RefSeq lists it as uncharacterized. NCBI's taxonomy places the organism in Eukaryota, Metazoa, Chordata, Actinopteri, Scombriformes, Scombridae. The record is from RefSeq and is a predicted model, not a curated record. The transcript has 3 exons.